Molecule: long non-coding RNA, 357 nt
Filed under: Trifolium pratense (red clover)
Lineage: Eukaryota; Viridiplantae; Streptophyta; Magnoliopsida; Fabales; Fabaceae
Description: long non-coding RNA (TPRA_LNC005327)
Source: RNAcentral
CGGUAUCCGUUUGGUGAAUUAUUGAUCCAAAUUGAGUUGUGUGCGAAGCUUUGAAGUUGUGACUCGAAAGCAGAUUUUGUGCAGAAUUUUGGGGGACAUACCUUCACUAAAACGGUAAUUAAUCUCUCUUUGUAACUCUAAAUUUAGUGAGGUUUGAUUCUGUGGAAAGAUAACUCGAUUACGGUCAUUUUGAUAUCCGUUUGGUGAAUUAUUCAUCCAAAUUGAGUUGUGUACGAAGCUUUGAAGUUGUGACUCGAAAGCAGAAUUUUAGGGGGGGCAAAAUCCAAAAAAUUAUAAAACAGGGGUGGUAAAAGUCCGCGUUUUAAAACAGGGGGGUAAAAUUCUGAUUUAAUCAAA